RNAcentral lists this long non-coding RNA (10911 nucleotides) under Cucumis sativus (cucumber). Its description in RNAcentral is "long non-coding RNA (CSAT_LNC001872)". Lineage: Eukaryota; Viridiplantae; Streptophyta; Magnoliopsida; Cucurbitales; Cucurbitaceae. The record is from RNAcentral.
GGCAAAAUGUGUACUAAAAUGGAGAGACGAUCAAGGUUUUCACAUCCAAUACAAAAGAAAAGACUUCCAUUCUAAAUGUAAAUCAUGAGAAGACUCCUUCCAUUAGAUCUUGCCAGCAGUAUGUCGGGGUAAGCUUGAAUUCCUGUUCGAUCUUUCCUACUAUUGUCGCUGACAUCAUGAUUGAUUGCUAUUUUUCAUUUGUUGUUCAUGAAUAAGGAUUUUAGCAAAUAUGAAAUAUUCAACGAAAUGUACAAAAGAGACAAAUUCAUUACAAUGGAAGGCAUGAUGAAUUAUAUACGUAUGCAUAAAAAUUAUAUAGCCGAAUUCUAUGAGAAAAUGCACUCGAAAUCAGCAGAAUUCAGUGUUCCAAGUAUUUCAAAGCUAACUUGAAAUCAUCGUGAAUUUCAUUUACUACUUAUUACACCUUUCACUAUUCACUCUCAAUGGAAGUUUCAACCAAAACAAAAGUCGCACGCCCCAAACCAACCGUUCUUUGCAGCUCGUCCAACAAAAACCAACCCUUUACAUCCCGCCAAGUUCAAUGAAAUCAAAUCUGUUGACUAAAUUACACGUCGAAGAUGGUACCACGAGUGGUCUACAGGAGGCCCGUGCUUCCGAAUGGGUUGCUUGCAGGCGGUGGUACGGUAUGGUGGUUAGGAGCAGGGAAAGCUCCGAAACCGGAAUCACCAAAAGGAUUUGUUGGGUCCAUCGUGAAGGGCUGUUGCUGCUGUGGGAAGGUAGGUUGAAAAGGACCAAAAGGAUUGGCCUGCUGCUGAGCUAAUGGUGCCAUUUGAACUGAUGGAGGUGGAGCGAUGGCAUUUGAAUAUGCAAAUGGGUCUUGCACCUCAAAUGGAUUUGGUGCGGGUUUACCAUACACGGGCUGUAGAGAAGCUCUAUACGCACCUUCAUCGUAUAAACUAUCGAGAAUGAGUGUGUCCAGUCCACCAGCCUGGUUCAUCAGAAGUGAGAAUUUAUCAAUUAGAUUGAAGAAUAUGCCAACAAUAACAUUCCUAAUGCUCUUAAGAAUUUAAGGCACUAACUACGUCAGUUUCAUUUAAGAAUUGUUCUCAAGUAAUAACGGCCAUUAAAAGAUGAAGACUGGAGAACGAGUUCCAAAUUCACAAUAGCAUUAAAGGCCUACCAGUUGUCUCUCAUUAGCUGAUGACAGGUUAGUACUUGGAGUAGUAACCAAGGCUAGCUCCCAACCCGUAGGAUCGAAAUCAUUAGCCUGUGCACCAUUGGAGUGAAAAGUGGGUGCUUCUGUAUCUGGUAUGAAGUUCAAUAUCAUUAACACAAGUGGUUAAGAAAAUUUCUCAAACAACCCACCCAAGGAAGAAAGACUUUGGAAUUUACCACCAGAAGGAACUAUAGCUAAAGCCAAAGCAUUUCUCUCCUCAAUUGCAGAUACUUCCGUGGUAGCAAGGCUCAAUCCCUGAAAAAUCGACCAGGCAAAAAAUUAUGAUUAUUUGUCGUGAUUUUAAGGAUGAUGAUGAGAGGUAUUAUCGAAUUAGUAUUAUAUAUACCAGUAAAUCUCCAGUCUCUAAAUGGCUUUCCGGAGCAGGAGCUGGUGCUGGAGGUGGUGGUGUUGGAGCUGUUUCAACAGGAGUAAUAGAAAGAUCAUUUGAAGGAGAAGCCUCCAGCUCAUCAGUGGGUAAGUUUUGAUCCUCGGAAAGAGAUUCUUCUGGCUUGUAGGUAAGUUGCAGCUGUUCAAGAUGAGAAAAUAUGAAAAAAAAAAUUCACGAGAAUUAAGAUGGCGAAAUUCUCAUCAGAACAACUCAAGGGAUGGAAGAUAAGCAUCCCCUGCCCAAAGGAAGGAUUAAAAUAACAGCUUCCAAUCGAGGUUAAUAGAAGCUAAGGAGUAAUUACAAAAAGCCUCAUGUUGAGCACAUUGUCAAACAGAAAAAUCCCUGAAAUACACAAAUAAUAUCGUCCGAUGUACAGCCCAAUUUUUGGUAUGAAAAGUUACCAAGAAUAUACUAACCAGUGGCUCAUUCGGUACUGUAACCAUUCGUGGUGCCUCCCUAAUAUACUCUUCCAUCGUAUUAAGAAAUGACUGUGGAGGCUGGAAAUGGAUAACAAGGCAUGAAGUAGGAAAGUAUAAGUUCAUACAUUAGCUUUAAUCCACAAGAGACAUAUAUUAUAUUAUGAAUUACCAACACUACCUCUCUUAAAACAGGAAACUGGAAAUUCCGAGCAAGUUCUAACCCUUUGCAAAUAUCAUAGAAAUCUGAUAGGCUUCCUGCCUGCAGCAAGGUAAAGGCAAGACAAAUAAACCUGAACUACCUAUUGGUGUACCUCAGCUAAUAUAACUAAGGUUGAGAAACAUAUGGAGGCAAGAAAAGUUAAUAGACAACAAGAAAUCAUUGUGAAAGAUAACCAUCAUUUUUGGAAACAAAAAUGAGUUCAAAGUACCUGUUGGCCAGCUCUUUUAUAGAUAUCAAGGGCUUUGAUCGCCUCAUGUCUUGGCAUCUCAAAAAACUGCAAGACAAUAAAUUUAUUCACGCCAAUUCGCUAACCGUGUCUGAAAGUCUUGCUUAGGUAAGAUGCUUAAUACUCACCUUGUCAACGAGAUUUAUAAUUCCAUCAUUAAUAGCACAAUAGAUUUUAAAGCUCUCUUUCAAUACCUGAAAAUCGCAUGUCACGGUAUUAGCAAGACUGGAAAGCUUUACUAACUGAAAAGUAUCCUUUGAAAACAGAAAAAAUAUGAGAACAGAUACUAUACAUUUGAUCUUUGUCAAAAGGCAUAUACAAUAUAAAAAAGAGAUCUAGAACUCUGUUAGUAUAACUCCUAACAAGAACAAAAAAACACUAAAAGAUAAGUUUAUAUUGCAAUGUCAAUGAAGAAACUGCAAUAUAACAGUCUUUCAAGAGAGGGCUACUCUCUCCCUUUCCCAAAAAAAAUCCCCACAAAAUUCUUCACUCCUCUAGCCAUACUCCCUCCUAUUUAUAAUGCAAAAGAUCUAACGAACUUAAUAUCUAAUUACUAGAAUACUCCUUACUGUAAUGAUGUAAGAAGACGAAGGGUUAAUUGAGUAAUUAGGCAAUAUUCUAGGUUAAAUCCCUUGUUGCCCCCACUUGUAAUAGAUUUCGAUGAAUAUGAGUCUUUCCCUCUUGUAUGAAUCACAUUAUUCGUUCUAAUAAAAGAUUCACAAUCUUAGUUCUUGGAGGAUUUCUCCUUGAGGUUACUUAGGCUGCAUUAAUUUGGUAUUAGAGGAAUCGUCUAGCCAAUGUUGACUGCCGCCGGUGGAAGAUCAAUAAACUCUUGUUGAUGUCGAUCACGAAAGGGAGUUUUGAGUGUUGUGCUCGUUGCCAAACAACACACAUCUAAUUAGGGGGAACCCUUAAAAUUCCAAGAAAGAAAGAAGACACUAAAGAUUUUGCAAGAAUAAACUACUAUUGAUCAAAGAAGAUGUCUAAGAAAAAAAACCAGAAGUUGGUAUAGACAAGAAAAUUAAUUUUACUUCCAUAAAAAAUGGUGGAAUCUGAUUCAAGUGAUUUGGAAGAAGAAUUUCAACAUUCUAAUUUUGGCCAUGCUCAAUUUUCGCGAAGAACCUAUCAUUAUCCAAUGAUGUUUCUAAGGCAGUUUAGGAAGAAAUAAGAAGGUGAAAAUUUCAAGAAAUGGCCAAACAAUCCAAUCAAACCCAUUUUUCAAGAAAUCAACGUAAAGAUUGGGAGUUGGAUGAAUUAAAGAAUCAUAAAAAAUGGAUUAUUUUUAAAUGGAGACAAGUCUCUUAAAUUAUUAUUAAUAAAAGAACCUUAAGCUCAAAGUAUAAGAGUAUUAUACUAAAAGCAAGAGAAUCCAUAGCUACAACAAAAGCUAAAGAACAAAUUCCAAACAGAAGAGAUCAAGCUAAAAAAACCCAUAACCGUAGAAAUCUAAAUACAAAGCAUAAUGAAAAAUUCUCUUAUAAAGAACUACUUUGAAACUAAAAACUUGCAAGAAGAUCCAACCGGCUACCUCGAAUCUUCCUUGCCAUAUUAUUCCAAAAUCUAAAGGAAGCUUGAAAAGGUCUUCAGCUAUUCCAACAUCCGCAUAAAGGAUUUACUUGUCACCCACAUGAAGGGAAGUCCAAGAAAAACCGACAUUAGUCCAACAUUGAGGACGAAUACAUUAAAAGACUAAAGAAUCAAAUUAGAAUAAUUUCACAAUCAGCAUUGAUUUUAAAUGAUUUGGUAUUUCGCAAGACUAGGGUCAAGAAAGAGUAGUAGAAGGCAUUACAGAUCUUGGCUCUUCCUUGCAUUGAAACCGAGCAUUGAGAUCUGUUUCUAGAGGCUCAAAAUGUUUCUGACUUUCAAGCUCAGUUGACCUAUCCAGAUGCUCAAAUUACUAUUAACGCUAGAAAGGAAAUUGAAGAAAGGCUCACCCUUCUUGUUGGAUUGAUUGAGAGGGGUUUUGCUUAGAGAGCCCAUCAGAAACUUUACCUUAGAGUUGGACAAAGAGAACUCAGAGUACUUAAACUGGGUAGAACGAGGAUGAUCAUAAAUUGACUUAGAAAAACGGGCUGGAGCUUGAAUUUGAAUGCAGCUAACUUCUAAUCAAUUUGGAUUGGCCUCUAAAAACAGCUUGGAGCUGCUAGAAUAAGUUAAAGAAAGAGAAUGCGCACUAUUUUCCUCAAGCAAAUUGGGUAUUUGAUCUUAAAAAAUCUGGCCUUUUAAGGAACGUUUGCCAAAAUCUUCCAUCCAAGAUUCAAAAUUACUCUUUUGGUUACGAAACACGACAAGAAAGGAUAAUUCAAGAAAAUAAGUGGAUGAGUCUUACAUAUAUGUUGGAUUCUUGAAAAUCAAUGGAUUGCAACACAUUCAAGAAUCCAACAAAAUAAUUACUUUGAUCCCGCAGCAUUGGAGGAAAUAAAGAAAACAACAAAAGAAAUUCAACGUUCAUUGAGGGAAAUGACUCAACAUUUAGAUCAAUUGUCAAUUCAUUUGCAAGAGUUCAAGAACGGAUUGGUUUCAUAUAUGGCAGAAAAAACAAAGGAAUCACGGUUGGAAAAUUUUCAAAUAGAAAAUCUUGAAGAUAAAAUUAAAGAACAAGAAUUUGAAAAUGUUGAUUUGGAAAUUGUCAUAAGUGAAGAAAAAUCCAACGAAGAAGAUAAAAAAGAAGUAUCGAACAUCAAGCAAAAAUCGAACAACAAUGUCACAUUGGUUGCAGUGGAAAUGAAUCAUCAAACCAUUGAAGAACUUGAAGCAAAUGAUAAAGAAAAUGUGAUUCUUGAAGGAUACUCUUCAGAAGCUAAUUCUUUUGAGAUUGAUUCUUCGAAAACAGUUUCGAGUGAGAUUGAAGGAAACAUCCUUUUCAGGGUUACGAUCGAUGGAGAGGUUCAUCUUUUAGUGGCCAUAUUUGAUUUUUUGUCUUAUUUUACCUCUUUGAUCAUAAUAUUUUUGUUCAAAACGUAGGAGGUUGGUCUGGUCAUACUCCGUUGAAUAAGUUUAUUUCAUUUUUUUUUUUUUUUUGCUUCAUAAAUUUACUCUUUCUGAAACUCAGGACGAGUUUGUUGUUUGGAGGGGUAGAAUGAUGUAAGAAGAUUAAGGGUUAAUUGGAUAAUUAGGUAAUAUUCUAGGUUAAUUCCCUUUUUACCCCCACUUGUAAUAAAACUCCAUAAAUAGGAGUCAUCUCCUCUGGUAUGAAGCACAUUAUUCAUUCUCAUUGUUAGAAAUAAUGGGCUUAGACAUGAUGAAAGCCCAUGGAUAGUUAAAAUUUACCUUGCCUAUUUUUUUCCUUUUAAGGCUCGUGUUGCAUAUAAAUUUCCCCCCUUUCUACCUUUAUGUAUUAUUAGAAAAUAAUACGAUCUUCAACAUCGUGGUUUUUCUCCCUGUACUAAGGUUUCCACGUAAAUUUCCGUGUCCUUUAUCUUUACUUACAAUACUCAUAAAAGAUUCACAAUCUUGGUUCUUGGAGGAUUUCUCUUUGAGGUUAUUUAGGCUACAUCACUUACUACUAAUCAAAGUAAUUAUCGUAAUAUUUUCCUAACUAGGAGUCUUACAAACUCCUCCUCAAUUCUCACAUAACGUCGAAUGCAUACAUACAACAACAAAAACAUAAGAUCUUAGCCAAGGUCCUUGCUAAUCAGUUAACAAAGUGGUGCCCCCUCCAUAUCUAAGGCGCAGGGAGUUUUUCUUGCUAGGAGGCAAAUCUUGGUUCACGCUCUUAUAGCCAAUGAAGCCAUCUAUCAGUUGAGGAAGGAGGGUAUUGUGCUUAAGCUUGACUCCAAAAAGGCUUAUGAUCAUGUUGAUUGAGAAUUUUGGAUAAGGUGUUGAUUUAGAAGGGUUUUGGGUAUAAGUGGAGGAUGUGGAUCUGGAUCUGGAUGUGGGCAGUGUUAGAAAUGUGAAGUACUCUAUUCUGAUCAAUGGAACCUCUAAGAGGUCGAUCCAAGCUUCUAGAGGUCUAAGGCAAGGAGACCCUCUAUCUCCCUUCCAGUUUUUAGUUGUCAUGGAUGUUCUAAGCAAAAUCAUUCUAAAGGGAGUGGAGGGUAACAUUAUCAAGGCUUUUAGGGUGGAAGCAAAUGAGGUGGCCUUAACGCAUCUCUAAUUUGCUAAUGAUACAAUGUUAUUUUGCUUAAGAGAUGAAGUAUAUUUUCUGAUUCUUAAUCAUAUGGUGGGGUUCUUGGAAGCGAUGCUUGGUUUUAAAAUCAAUAGGAGUAAAUGUCAAAUUAUGGGGAUUUAACUAUGAUCAAUAUAAGGCUUAGGAGAUGGGCAGAGGCGUUUGGUUGCAAGGUAGGUUCUUUUCCUUCUCCUUAUCUUGGGCUUCCUCUGGGAGGUAACCCGAGGUCUAUGACAUUUUGGGACCCUAUUUUUGAGAAAAUCCGAAAAAGACUAGCAUGGUAAAAGGAAGGAUUUUUCUCUAAAGUUGGAAGACUUCUAAUGAGAUUGGUACUAAGUGGUAUUCCUAUAAGGUUUUAUCAUCUCUCCUCUCACGGUCUUUUCUUUCUUCUGAAUUAACCACAUGAACUUCAACUUGUUGCAAUAAUUAAUGUGUCCCCCCAACUUGAAACAUUUCAACCAAUUAUGGUUUAAGACAAUUGCCUCGUAACUUGUUUGAUCUAGAAUCUUAUAACACUUACUCAGACACACACUUCCUAUCCUACUCCAAAUCAUUAGGCGUGGGCCCCAAUGACUUCCUUUCUAGGAAGCAAGCGACCAUCAUUCGAGAAUAUAGAAUCUAAUGAAUUUUGACAAACUCAAUGUCUAAGUGGGAUUCUAUCUUCUAUAAAAUGACUCCCUCGUCAAAAACCAAAACUAUGACAACUACUUUUUUUUAUAUCCGUGAGUAUAUGAGCCAGUUUACGCGCACCUCGACUAAUCUCACAGGACCUACCUAACCCUACAACAUUUAGGUGUCAAGGAAACUCAGAAACUUAAUUCCUAGGUAGGUGGCCCCCAUGACCUCUUAGUUAGUUAUUGAGACUGUCUUGAUUUUUACCACUAGGUCAAUCUAUGAUGGUUAACUAUGACAACUGCUCUCAAAGAUUAUUCAACAAUAAGAAAAGUUUCAUAAAUUCAAGAUUCUGGCAUUUUGAUCCAUAUUUUGAACCUAAGAAUUUAGCACAUGAUGUUUCCCAAAGGAGGAUUAGGUGUGUAAUGUAAAAUAUUGAUGGGUUCUACCUGCUAAAAGUGUUAUGCAUUUACUGUUUUAUGUUUCCAACGUCAUCCAAGUUAUGGCUCUACAUUUUAAGGUUUGCCACUUCCUUGCAUUGCAACUUUGAAUGGGAUUUGUUGUGAAACCAUAAAUAAUAUUGGAAAAAAAGAGUUUGCUAAGUCAAUAUGUGAUGAAGAGAUUUAACUAACACUGGAGCCAUGCUCAAAAGUCAGAUAAGUAGCAGAAGAAUGCUUUUAACCAUGACCCAUCCCUGUCCUUCCAACCAUAUGAAACUUCUGAUGAUAGUUCCUAUCUCCAAUUAUGCCCAAUGCACCAUCCAUCCUUAAAAUGAUUGUUUGUGCUCCAUGAGAUCGAGAACAAAUCUAUUUCAUGUAGCUUUGACAAAAAUUACAUAGGUACAGUUAUCCAGAUUACUAAAGUCCAUCUACAAAAAAAGUAUGCCCUCUCAGCCGAAGAAUCAGUAUUGCUUAGGCUAUCAGACUCGAUAGAGUAUUUAAUUCAAAUUUAAUUCAACCUUUGUCAACUCAAAAGUUCUUCAGGGAAAUGGAUUGCACAACAUAUUUAUUUGGAUUCAAAAGAUUUUGAACAAAGGGAAAGUUUCUCGGAGUUAACAAAAAGUGGUCAACUCUACCAGUUGAGUCCAAAGUGGUUGUGCCUCGAGGAAAAGAUUUUCAAGGAUAGCAACAGUUUUCAGACUUGCUAAAUGACUUUGUUGGCUAAGGGGAAGCUUGGCCGAAGAUGGGGUUGAAAAUGAGAAUUCUUUGCAGAGGUUGUUAAGAUGCCAUCAGUCAAACAUAACCAAAAAUAGAGGUUGGAUGACUUUUGGUCCAUAUAUUAAAAGCAGAGAAGUGGGACAUCACCAUUCAUAGCAGAUAUGUUGUUGCUCCUCCGGCUGGUGGAUUAGAAUUUGAAAUAUUCUGCUGCAUUUAUGGGACUAUAAGAUCUUUAAAGCUAUUGGUCUGCUGACUGCUUGGGAGGUUUUGAGUAUGCAGGAAGCAACUCACAGCUUAUUGGUAGUGUAGAAGUGGGAAUCCAAAUAAGAAACAAUUAUUGUGGCUCUACACCACAGAAAAUCAACCAGAUUGAUGGAGAGAACGUUUGUAUGGUGCAGGUUGUGACUCAUCAAGAUGUAAUAUGUUGAUUAUAGAGUCACCAGAAUCCAUGCAGAAGCCGUUAAUGCUUUUCACUAAGGUCCGCACCUUUGAAUCCUAACGUGAGCCUAGUUAACAAGUAAAAAAUAGAAGAUGGGGCUCACUGUCCACAGAUCCAUAUUUCAAAAGUCCUUUUAGUUGAAAAAGAGUCAAACACAUCAUUGAAAAAUGACAGCAGGCAUAAAUUUAUCCUGCCUCAGACAUGGAUCUGAUAAAGCGGAAGAGUUGGGAGCCUAAGAACAUCUCCAAGCCACAGACAAAAGCCAAAUAUACACAAGGCAAAAAGCCCAUAUAGGAAGACAUAGUCCUAGGAAAAAGAAGCCCAUCCAUCAAAACGAAAAAACUGAUGUAUCACCUACUGCUGUCUUAAUAUAACUGACCACAGACCAUUUUAUCAAUUUUGUUAGUUCACCGGCUGUAAAAGUAGACAGUCACCUUUUGUCACCUUUUCCAUAUAAAAAUUUUUCCAGACUUCUAUUUUUUGUCUUUCAAAGCUUCACCAAGAUUCCAUAAAAAAUAAAAGAGUGUCUCCUUUGCUAAAGAAAAUCAGCUUAUAUCCUAGUUCCAAAAAAAAAAAAAAGGAACGGUAGAGCACAAACAAAAGUGCAGGUCCAGGUCAUGUUGAGCCCACAUCAAACUCAAUUGUAGAAAUGGACAUUGGCUCAGAAGGAGACCUAGAUAGAAGAACUAUAAAAGUUUCUUUCGACACUAAUUCUUGAGCCAACAAAGGACUCCAGGAGAUUUUCAAGAUUUUUUCCAGGAGGGCGACAAUGUAAGUUUGAGGCGAGUGUGAGACAUGAAGAUCAAUGGGGUGUAAUCGAUGGAUCCAAGAGAAAGAGAACCCGUUAACACUUGUUGUAAAGCCCCCAAGCCAAAACAUGAAGGAAAAAAAGAAAAUCAACAUCCCACAGGGUUCCAUGAUUAACAAAGAAGUGUUAACGUUAAAGAAAAACAACUUCUAUAUCUGACUUUUGAGAGGAAAAUUGUCCAAAACAGGUGGUAUGGCUAAAAAAAAGAGGCCUGGAAGUUUCAUGCCUUGUUAAGAAUUAGGAGAAUGUAUGAAAUAGUUUAAAGGCUGAUAUUUAUUGUAAAGCUUGGUGCUACAUUGCAAGUUUAUUGGGGAUUUCCUCUCAUAGUCCAAAAAAGAUUGAUGACUGGCUUUUGGAAGGGUUGAGCACCUUGAAUUUGAAGGGUAAAGCAAAAGUGGCCAGAGGUUGUGAGUUUUGGCACUUAUGGAAGGAGAGAAAUGGAGAGAAAUGCUAGAACGCAAAUAAGUCCUCAGAGUUUGACUCCUUUUGUAAUUAUGUAUAAAAUGUGGCUUCUUGAUGGAUAACCUCACAAAAAAAUUAUUUUCAAACUACAUUUUGUUGAUGAUUUCUACUUAUUGGCAAGCUCUAACGACAUAGUAGAGUUGGGAUGGGGUGUUCUCUAUCCCCGAUCCUUAGGUUGUCCAUAUUUUUGUGACCCAUUUGUCAUUUCUUUUAAAAAAAACAUGAUCAAGUUAAAUACUACAACUUCAACAAAGAGCAUCUAAAAUAAGUUAACCUUUUCUCCAGAUGGUACCACAUGAAGGGCUCUCAAGUAAAUAGGAAAACAACCCGAAGGCAUGUUUCUUUCUUAUAACCUUGAAUUCCCAUCCACCAUAAAGUGGACUAGUAAAGGGAAGAAAGUCUUCUUUUAGUUAAGUUUAGCAUGGGAAUAUAUCCUUUUUGUCCCCGCCUCCCCUCCUUCCCCCCUCCCCCCCACCCACCAAAUUUUAUACCUAAAGUUCAAAAUAACAUGAGUAAAAUGGUAACAUUGACAUUAAUAAUGUUCUAUGCUAAAAAAUUAAAAGCAGAAUCAUGGCACUGCGAAUAACAAAUAUAAACAGAAAAAGGUCAGCAUACCAGUGCCAAGGCGUACUGUAUAACAUAAUUCCCAAUAGCUGCUCCUUCUGGCUGUAAUUUUAACAUCAAAUCAUUUUCAUGCUUAAAGAACAUCACAGCAAUAAACCCACAUUCUAAAAAAGAAAUUUUUUUUCAGCAUCAGAGAGUCGAAGGUUCACAGGUGUCAAAAAGAUACCUUGCAGCCAAUAAGACGAUACAACAGCUGUUGCAAAGCAGGCAAAUGUUCCAACAGUUCUUCACUGUCCAGUUCCCUAGUUCUGCUGUAUCCCUGCCAAUGAAA